Molecule: transfer RNA, 77 nt
Filed under: Mesorhizobium amorphae
Lineage: Bacteria; Pseudomonadati; Pseudomonadota; Alphaproteobacteria; Hyphomicrobiales; Phyllobacteriaceae
Description: tRNA-Arg
Rfam family: tRNA
About the family: Transfer RNA (tRNA) molecules are approximately 80 nucleotides in length. Their secondary structure includes four short double-helical elements and three loops (D, anti-codon, and T loops). Further hydrogen bonds mediate the characteristic L-shaped molecular structure. tRNAs have two regions of fundamental functional importance: the anti-codon, which is responsible for specific mRNA codon recognition, and the 3' end, to which the tRNAs corresponding amino acid is attached (by aminoacyl-tRNA synthetases). tRNAs cope with the degeneracy of the genetic code in two manners: having more than one tRNA (with a specific anti-codon) for a particular amino acid; and 'wobble' base-pairing, i.e. permitting non-standard base-pairing at the 3rd anti-codon position.
Source: RNAcentral
GGUCUCCUAGCUCAGCUGGAGAGAGCGCCCGGCUACGAACCGGGAGGUCGGGGGUUCGACUCCCUCGGAGACCGCCA